UUCUGGCAAUUUUGGCAUGUAUAUAUCAAAUAUUUUAAGAUUUUUACGAGUGUUGGUCUAAUUAUAGUAUCAUUUUUAUACAUUGCAAAUAGCUUUGGGAGGAAUUUAGUCUUUGCUAUUCACCUUAUCUAUGGCUUGGUUAUGCAAUUUGACUUAUGAGACAAUGUACACGAUUUUGAAACUUGAAAAACCUCUUAAAUGUGUUGGGUGAUUUUUUUCUUUAUGCAGAGGGUUGGAUAGGCAUCCAAAUAAGUUCUAUAGGGUCUGAAUACAUAAGAGGAAGUAAGCUAAGUAUAUAGGAUGAUAUGUAUUUUCUAUCAUAUAAAAAAACAAAAAGAAAAUUUCAGAAGUGCAUGGAGAUAUUUCACUUUUUGCCUUCCUCAAAAACCAAAUAUAUACAACUUCUGGAGUCUUCCAUAGAUCCACUGGCUUACAACAACUUUCUUUCUUUUUUUGAUCUUUAUUUCUUCUUUUUUGUCUUAAUCAAGGUUGAAGAAUUUGCUCAAAAAAAUUCAACAAGGGAUAGAGGGGUAAUUUUCUAUUCGUAAUGAAAUUCAAUUCAAAUAAAUUAAUGGUUAAUAAUAAUUUGAACAUCUCAACCAUAUGGGUGCCAGAUUUUUUGUUUUUAUUGGGGUUUUAGUUGUUGUUAUUUUAUCAAGUUAUGAAUGAUUCUUAUAAAGAUAAAAUAUUUUAAUAUAUUGUAUGACUAUGCUCCAAUUAUUUUUAAUAAUGGACUUUAAUAAAUGAUUAUAAUUGAAAUUAUAUUAACUACAGGAUGUAUCUCUCACAACAUGAAAAUAUAAAUUUGGUUUAUGUAUAUUGGGGCUGUUACUUAGAGUUCAUUUAUAUAAAUUGUUAGUGGGUGGUUCCAAUGUAGUUCAGGGCUUGCAGACACAUUCAUCUUAUUUGGCAUGGCCUUUGAUUUGUUUGAGGUAUAUUUGAUUACAAAUAAAUUGAUUUGCUAUACCUUUUUAACCUGAAUUAGUUUUGUCUCAUAGUUUACUGUUUUGAAUUUCAAGCUCAGCAGCUGAACAAUGACAUAUUUGAUAUCAUAUGCUACGAUGCUCUAAAAGCUUCUUCUGAUAUAGCUGAGAAAGAGGGCCCCUAUGAGCCGUGUAAUGAGAGUCCUGUGAGUAAGGAGAGCAAAUAAAGCUGACAAACAAGUCAAGAAAAGAGGAGGUGGCUUUUAGAAAGUAUAUAGCCUUUCUCCUCAGCUUCAAAAAGUAGUGGGAGAGUCUGAAUUGCAUAGAAUUGAGGACAUCCCUUCUACAAGGAACACAAAGAAAUCUGGCCAAGCAAUUUGGUUUCUCUGGACGUUUGAGCAGCCAGCAAAAAUCCAAUCCAGAUUUCUACAAUUGGAAUCGAAUUAAGGUUAGGUACUGUGAUGGAUCAUCAUUCACAGGCGAUGUGGAGGCAGCCAAUCCAGUAAGUUAUUUGAAUUAUUUGAGAAAAUUACUGCGUAAUGCAUUUUCUGGUUUUUAACCUAAUGGUGAUGUGAUUAAGUUAAUAGUCUCUACGUCAGAGGAAAUAGAAAUUGGGAGGCUAUAAUUGAUGAUCUUUUAGCAAAAGGAAUGAGAAAUGCUAAAAAUGCUAUUCUUUCUGGCUGUUCUGCUGGUUGAUUGGCUUCGCACUGUGAAAGAUUUAGAGCUCUUCUUCCCUCUACAACUAAAGUAAAAUGCAUUUCAGAUGCUGGCUUCUUCAUCCAUGCGAUUCCUUAUUUCUGGUAGGAAGGACAUUUCUGGAGGGCAGCACAUGGAAAAUUUCUAUGGCCAAAUGGCUCAAUUACACAUAUUGUCUCUAUUCUCUCUCUCAUCCUUUUUUGGGGUGAACUUUUUUGAAGAUUUUUAAUGAUUGUGAGCUAUAUUAGAAUUGUUCAUCAAAUGCAUUUUCUUUUUCUCAAAAAAGACUGAGAUGGACCCUUACCAGUCUUAUAAAUCUAACGUCUUGUUCAGGGGUCUGUUAAGAAUUUGCCAGCAUCUUGUACUUCAAGAAUGAGAAUGAGACCAGAGUUGACUAUGAAAACGCCAAUAUGACAGUUCAUUUGCUGAUGUUACUAUACCCAAAACCAUAAUAUGCUCAAAAUCAAUUGAGAGAGCUAGGCUUCAUGGUACAAUUCAAUGUGAUCAAAGAUUGGGAAAGCAAAAAAAAAAUGAGUGGAAAAAGAAAAUUAGCUUAUAUCUCUUACUGGAAGAAUAACGUUUUGGACCUCUCAGUUUGACAAGGGCCUUGCAUACUGACAUGGAUGACAUGUAUUGCAUUCAACAUGUGGAGGUAGAGACAAGUUUUGAAGCGCUUCAAGUUGGUUUUUCUAGUAAAUGAAAGCAUAGAAGGUUUACAUGAAUGAAGGAAAAAUUGUCUUAUAAUUACAGAUUUCAGGGUGCAAUUCUUAAGUGCAGGAAAGCAGAUAACGUGGUCAAGAAAUAAUUCUCCAGCAGUGGGUAACACGGUACGUACAUAAGAGAUCUCAUUCCUUGUUCUUCUUUCUUUUGUCUACAUAUAAUUUUGUUGGUGUUGGACAUUUAAACUCUAGUAGGACCUAAAACAUUUUUCAUUAUUUGUUUGUGAUUGAAAAUACUUGUAGAAAAUUGCAAAGGCUGUUGGAGACUGGUAUUAUGAGCAGCGUCCUGUUCAAAAGAUAGACUUCCCUUCCCCUUGCAACCCCACUUUUAUGAGCAAAGUCCCGUUCAAAAGAUAGACUGCCCUUACCGUUGCAAACCCACUUACCAAAACACUGAUUCUGAAUCACAAGUCCCAGAUAUAUAAUAUAUAGUGCUUACUUUAUGCAGUCAUAAUUCAUGCAUAUUGAAUGAUGUUCAUGUCUUCUUCAAGUCCUAGCUGUCUAUCUCUACUCUGCAUGCCUCUCAGGUUUGCUAUUUAUUCUUUAUCAAAAUUAAGAAAAAAUAAAGUGUAUAAUAUUGGAAUCAAACAAGCUAAGAAUACAAAGGUGCCUGAACUUGCAGUAUUAUUAUGUAAUUGCCAAUGACUGGUCUUAAUUUUGCUUCAAUGUUAGUGUUGGUUAAAGAGAUGGCAUUUGCUUUUCCUAUUCCUAUAUAUACUCCACUUAUUUCCAAAUCAAGUUGAAUGGUUAUUAUCACAUUUUUGCAUGUUUCUGAACUAUAUAUUCUUCCUUGCGUAAAUUUUUAUAGUUUAUGACUUGUAGUACAUUUUGCUAAUAAUGCUAACAAUGGACAAAAAAUACAAUUCAAACUGGGAUUGGAGGCAUGGCAGAAGAAGAGAAUAAUAAAAAGGAAAAGAAACAAACCAAACCUAACCUUAUGAUGUACUGGAAGAUUUUGUGACACUGUUGAGCACUUGAAGAAUGGUUUGUUUUUUAACAUUCUCGAGUAACAACGGAAUGAAAUGCAUUUAGCCACUCCGAUCUCUUACCACAGCAUGCAUGCAGAAUACCAUUAGCCAAGUACAAUGAGCUGGAAAUGAUCGAUGUAACAAAUAGGUACCGUUUUAAAUUGUGAUACACAUAUCAGAGGAAUUGCAGUCGCACAAGGAAAAGAGAUGCAUAUUGAAUGGUAAUAUAAAUAUUAGAUUAGAUUUUGAGUGAAAAAAAUUUGCCCCUAUAAGCAUCAAGGCCGCUGUAUUUACCCCUCCGACAGAACAAAUUGCCAGGUCAGAGGAUAAGAUCCCCCAUUUUUCUUUUCUUCUUAAAAACUAUCUAAUAAAUACUAUACUUAUUAGCUUUAAUGCUAAAGGUUGGUAUCAGCUCAAGAACUUCGCCACUUGGCCAGGAUAUUUAAGUGCCAAUCAUUCAUACAGGUACAGUUUCUUGACCUGAGAACUAGUGCAACAAA
Molecule: non-coding RNA, 3806 nt
Organism: Durio zibethinus
Lineage: Eukaryota; Viridiplantae; Streptophyta; Magnoliopsida; Malvales; Malvaceae
Source: RefSeq, a predicted model, not a curated record